GCUGAGUGCAGUGGCUCACGCCUGUGGUCCCAGCUACUUUGGGAGGCUGAGGCAGGAGGAUUGCUUGAGCCCAGGAGGUUGAGGCUGCAGUGAGCUGUGAUUGUGCCACUGCACUCCAGCCUGGGCAACAGAGCAAGACCCUGUCUCUA
Non-coding RNA from Homo sapiens (human), 149 nucleotides. It matches the Rfam family "Metazoan signal recognition particle RNA". Rfam says of the family: The signal recognition particle (SRP) is a universally conserved ribonucleoprotein. It is involved in the co-translational targeting of proteins to membranes. The eukaryotic SRP consists of a 300-nucleotide 7S RNA and six proteins: SRPs 72, 68, 54, 19, 14, and 9. The record is from Rfam. Lineage: Eukaryota; Metazoa; Chordata; Mammalia; Primates; Hominidae.